Molecule: ribosomal RNA, 497 nt
Filed under: uncultured bacterium
Lineage: Bacteria
Description: partial 16S ribosomal RNA
Rfam family: Bacterial small subunit ribosomal RNA
Source: RNAcentral
GAUGAACGCUGGCGGCGUGCCUAAUACAUGCAAGUCGAGCGCACGGACGAGAAGCUUGUUUCUCUGAUGUUAGCGGCGGACGGGUGAGUAACACGUGGAUAACCUACCUAUAAGACUGGGAUAACUUCGGGAAACCGGUGCUAAUACCGGAUAAUAUCUUGAAACGCAUGGUUCAAAAGUGAAAGACGCACUUGCUGUCACUUAUAGAUGGAUCCCCGCUGCUUUAGCUAGUUGGUAAGGUAACGGCUUACCAAGGCAACAAUGCAUAGCCGACCUGGAGGGGUGACCGCCCACACGGGAACGUGGACACGGUCCAGACUCCUAGGGAAGGCACCGGAAGGGAAUCUUCCGCAAGGGGCGAAGGCCUGACGGAGCAACGCGGCGUGGGUGAUAAGAGUCUUCGGAUCGUAAAACUCGGUUAUUAGGGAAGAACAUAGUUGGAAGGAACUGUGCACAUCGUGACGGUACCUAAUCAGAAAGCCACGGCUAACUACGUG